GACGAACGCUGGCGGCGUGCUUAACACAUGCAAGUCGAACGGAAAGGCCCUGCUUGCAGGGUACUCGAGUGGCGAACGGGUGAGUAACACGUGGGUGAUCUGCCCUGCACUUCGGGAUAAGCCUGGGAAACUGGGUCUAAUACCGGAUAGGAGCCAUUUUUAGUGUGAUGGUUGGAAAGUUUUUUCGGUGUAGGAUGAGCUCGCGGCCUAUCAGCUUGUUGGUGGGGUAAUGGCCUACCAAGGCGGCGACGGGUAGCCGGCCUGAGAGGGUGGACGGCCACAUUGGGACUGAGAUACGGCCCAGACUCCGACGGGUGGCAGCAGGGGGGAAUAUUGCACAAUGGGCGCAAGCCUGAUGCAGCGACGCCGCGGGGGGGAUGACGGCCUUCGGGUUGUAAACUCCUUUCGCUAGGGACGAAGCUUUUUGUGACGGUACCUAGAUAAGAAGCACCGGCUAACUACGUG
RNAcentral lists this ribosomal RNA (465 nucleotides) under uncultured bacterium. Its description in RNAcentral is "partial 16S ribosomal RNA". It matches the Rfam family "Bacterial small subunit ribosomal RNA", at positions 28 to 507 of the family's 1533-position model. The record is from RNAcentral.